UACGGGGGGAGCAAGCGUUGUUCGGAUUUACUGGGCGUAAAGGGCGCAUAGGCGGCGCAACAAGUCACUUGUGAAAUCUCCGGGCUUAACCCGGAGCGGCCAAGUGAUACUGUCGUGCUAGAGUGCGGAAGGGGCUACUGGAAUUCUCGGUGUAGAGGUGAAAUGCGUAGAGAUCGGGAGGAACAUCUGUGGCGAAGGCGACUGCCUGGACCAGCACUGACACUGAGGCACGAAAGCGUGGGGAGCAAACAGG
Molecule: ribosomal RNA, 253 nt
Filed under: uncultured bacterium
Lineage: Bacteria
Description: partial 16S ribosomal RNA
Rfam family: Bacterial small subunit ribosomal RNA
Source: RNAcentral